AUUGAACGCUGGCGGCAGGCCUAACACAUGCAAGUCGAGCGAGCGGCGGACGGGUGAGUAAUGUCUGGGAAACUGCCUGAUGGAGGGGGAUAACUACUGGAAACGUGAGCUAAUACCGCAUACCAUCAGAGGUGCCCAGAUGGGAUUAGCUAGUAGGUGGGGUAAUGGCUCACCUAGGCGACGAUCCCUAGCUGGUCUGAGAGGAUGACCAGUCACACGGGAACUGUGACACGGUCCAGACCCCUACGGGAGUAACAAGUGGGGAAUAUUGCACAAUGGGCGCAAGCCUGAUGCAGCCAUUCCGCGUGUGUGAAGCAGGCCUUCGGGUUGUAAAGCACUUACAGCGGGGAGGCGUUACCCUCAGAAGAAGCACCGGCUAACUCCGUGCCAGCAGCCGCGGUAAUAC
This 406-nucleotide ribosomal RNA is filed under the name uncultured bacterium. RNAcentral describes it as "partial 16S ribosomal RNA". It matches the Rfam family "Bacterial small subunit ribosomal RNA", at positions 30 to 526 of the family's 1533-position model. The record is from RNAcentral.